CAAAGUUUUGGUCCUAAACUUGCCCUUGUUUUUUAUCAAAAUUACACAUGCGAGCCUCCGCGCACCAGUGAGAAUGCCCACAAAACCCAAACAGACACCCGGAGCAGGUAUCAGGUUCAGCCCAAUAUAGCCUACAACACCUUGCUAUGCCACCCCCCCACGGGCACUCAGCAGUGAUUAACAUUAAGACAUAAGCGAAAGCUUGACCUGGUUAUGAUUAAUAAGGUCGGUAAAUUUCGUGCCAGCCACCGCGGUUAUACGAAAGACCUAAAACAAAGGCCUCCGGCGUAAAGCGUGACCCGAGAUUAGCCUAACAAUAUUAAAGAAAAACGCCAAUAACAGCCGUAAAACGCCAACGCAAGUAAGAACAACAAAAUCUUUAAGAAUAGGGCUACCCAACAUCACGAAAGCUGAGGAACAAACUGGGAUUAGAUACCCCACUAUGCCCAGCCAUAAACAAAGACAAUACUGACACCAGAUUGUUCGCCAGAGAACUACAAGAAAAACCUCGAAACUCCAAGGACUUGGCGGUGCUCCACAUCAGCCUAGAGGAGCCUGUCCUAUAAUCGAUACUCCACGAUAUACCCAACCAUCCUUUGCCCCCCAGCCUAUAUACCGCCGUCGUCAGCCUACCUUAUGAGAGAGAGACAGUAAGCAAGACAGUUAACAACUAACACGUCAGGUCAAGGUGUAGCACAUGAGAUGGAAGAGAUGGGCUACAUUUUCUACCACAGAACACACGAAUGACACAGUGAAACCUGCACCUGAAGGUGGAUUUAGCAGUAAGAUUAGUAAGAAACCAAAUCUAAAAAUCGCUCUGGAGCGCGCACACACCGCCC
This 839-nucleotide non-coding RNA is filed under the name Madascincus melanopleura. Its description in RNAcentral is "partial 12S ribosomal RNA". It matches the Rfam family "Bacterial small subunit ribosomal RNA". Lineage: Eukaryota; Metazoa; Chordata; Lepidosauria; Squamata; Scincidae. The record is from RNAcentral.